GAGUUUGAUCCUGGUUCAGAACGAACGCUGGCGGCGUGCCUAACACAUGCAAGUCGAACGGAGGUAAGGAGCUUGCUCCUUACUUUAGUGGCGCACGGGUGAGUAACGCGUAGAUAAUCUGCCUGAUGAUCUGGGAUAACACUUCGAAAGGGGUGCUAAUACCGGAUAAGCCCACGGGGUCUUUGGAUUCUGCGGGAAAAGGGGGGGACCUUCGGGCCUUCUGUCAUCAGAUGAGUCUGCGUACCAUUAGCUAGUUGGUAGGGUAAUGGCCUACCAAGGCUACGAUGGUUAGCUGGUUUGAGAGAAUGAUCAGCCACACUGGAACUGAGACACGGUCCAGACUCCUACGGGAGGCAGCAGUGGGGAAUUUUGCGCAAUGGGCGAAAGCCUGACGCAGCAACGCCGCGUGAGUGAUGAAGGCUUUCGGGUCGUAAAGCUCUGUCAAUGGGAAAGAAGUGUAUUAUGGCUAAUAUCCAUGAUACUUGACGGUACCCAUAAAGGAAGCACCGGCUAACUCCGUGCCAGCAGCCGCGGUAAUACGGGGGGUGCAAGCGUUGUUCGGAAUUAUUGGGCGUAAAGAGCGUGUAGGCGGUUUGUUAAGUCUGUUGUGAAAGCCCUGGGCUCAACCCAGGAAGUGCACUGGAUACUGGCAGACUUGAAUACGGGAGAGGGCAGUGGAAUUCCUAGUGUAGGAGUGAAAUCCGUAGAUAUUAGGAGGAACACCGGUGGCGAAGCGGCUGCCUGGACCGAUAUUGACGCUGAGACGCGAAAGCGUGGGUAGCAAACAGGAUUA
This 793-nucleotide ribosomal RNA is filed under the name uncultured Geobacter sp. RNAcentral's name for it is "bacterial SSU rRNA". It matches the Rfam family "Bacterial small subunit ribosomal RNA", at positions 9 to 780 of the family's 1533-position model. The record is from RNAcentral. Lineage: Bacteria; Pseudomonadati; Thermodesulfobacteriota; Desulfuromonadia; Geobacterales; Geobacteraceae.